UACAGAGGUCUCAAGCGUUGUUCGGAUUCAUUGGGCGUAAAGGGUGCGUAGGCGGCGCGGUAAGUCGGGUGUGAAAUCUUGGAGCUUAACUCCGAAACUGCAUUCGAUAUUGCCGUGCUUGAGGACUGGAGAGGAGACUGGAAUUUACGGUGUAGCGGUGAAAUGCGUAGAUAUCGUAAGGAAGACCAGUGGCGAAGGCGGGUCUCUGGACAGUUCCUGACGCUGAGGCACGAAGGCCAGGGGAGCAAACGGG
Molecule: ribosomal RNA, 253 nt
Filed under: uncultured bacterium
Lineage: Bacteria
Description: partial 16S ribosomal RNA
Rfam family: Bacterial small subunit ribosomal RNA
Source: RNAcentral